UGGGACUGAGACACGGCCCAGACUCCUACGGGAGGCAGCAGUGGGGAAUAUUGCACAAUGGGCGCAAGCCUGAUGCAGCGACGCCGCGUGAGGGAUGACGGCCUUCGGGUUGUAAACCUCUUUCGCCAGGGACGAAGCGCAAGUGACGGUACCUGGAUAAGAAGCACCGGCUAACUACGUGCCAGCAGCCGCGGUAAUACGUAGGGUGCGAGCGUUGUCCGGAAUUAUUGGGCGUAAAGAGCUCGUAGGCGGUUUGUCGCGUCGGCCGUGAAAUCUCCACGCUUAACGUGGAGCGUGCGGUCGAUACGGGCAGACUUGAGUUCGGCAGGGGAGACUGGAAUUCCUGGUGUAGCGGUGAAAUGCGCAGAUAUCAGGAGGAACACCGGUGGCGAAGGCGGGUCUCUGGGCCGAUACUGACGCUGAGGAGCGAAAGCGUGGGGAGCGAACAGGAUUAGAUACCCUGGUAGUCCACGCUGUAAACGUUGGGCGCUAGGUGUGGGCGACAUUCCACGUUGUCCGUGCCGYAGCUAACGCAUUAAGCGCCCCGCCUGGGGAGUACGGCCGCAAGGCUAAAACUCAAAGGAAUUGACGGGGGCCC
This 598-nucleotide ribosomal RNA is filed under the name bacterium 2e91109. Its description in RNAcentral is "bacterial SSU rRNA". It matches the Rfam family "Bacterial small subunit ribosomal RNA", at positions 314 to 922 of the family's 1533-position model. The record is from RNAcentral.